CCUACGGGAGGCAGCAGUGGGGAAUUUUGGACAAUGGGCGCAAGCCUGAUCCAGCCAUUCCGCGUGCAGGAUGAAGGCCCUCGGGUUGUAAACUGCUUUUGUACGGAACGAAACGGCUCUCUCUAAUACAGGGGGCUAAUGACGGUACCGUAAGAAUAAGCACCGGCUAACUACGUGCCAGCAGCCGCGGUAAUA
RNAcentral lists this ribosomal RNA (195 nucleotides) under uncultured Variovorax sp. RNAcentral describes it as "partial 16S ribosomal RNA". It matches the Rfam family "Bacterial small subunit ribosomal RNA", at positions 338 to 525 of the family's 1533-position model. Lineage: Bacteria; Pseudomonadati; Pseudomonadota; Betaproteobacteria; Burkholderiales; Comamonadaceae. The record is from RNAcentral.